GGGCCCGCACAAGCGGAGGAACAUGUGGUUUAAUUCGAUGAUACGCGAGGAACCUUACCCGGGCUUGAAUUGCAGAGGAAGGAUUUGGAGACAAUGACGCCCUUCGGGGUCUCUGUGAAGGUGCUGCAUGGUUGUCGUCAGCUCGUGCCGUGAGGUGUCGGCUUAAGUGCCAUAACGAGCGCAACCCCUCUCUUCAGUUGCCAUCAGGUAGAGCUGGGCACUCUGGAGACACUGCCACCGUAAGGUGUGAGGAAGGUGGGGAUGACGUCAAAUCAGCACGGCCCUUACGUCCGGGGCUACACACGUGUUACAAUGGGGGGUACAGAAAGUCGGUUUUACGCAAGUGAGACCAAAUCCUCAAAGCCCUCCUCAGUUCGGACUGGGGUCUGCAACCCGACCCCACGAAGCUGGAUUCGCUAGUAAUCGCGCAUCAGCCAUGGCGCGGUGAAUACGUUCCCGGGCCUU
This 465-nucleotide ribosomal RNA is filed under the name uncultured bacterium. Its description in RNAcentral is "bacterial SSU rRNA". It matches the Rfam family "Bacterial small subunit ribosomal RNA", at positions 917 to 1382 of the family's 1533-position model. The record is from RNAcentral.